This 1484-nucleotide ribosomal RNA is filed under the name uncultured Bordetella sp. Its description in RNAcentral is "partial 16S-23S ribosomal RNA intergenic spacer". It matches the Rfam family "Bacterial small subunit ribosomal RNA". The record is from RNAcentral. Lineage: Bacteria; Pseudomonadati; Pseudomonadota; Betaproteobacteria; Burkholderiales; Alcaligenaceae.
AGGUUUGAUUAUGGCUCAGAUUGAACGCUGGCGGGAUGCUUUACACAUGCAAGUCGAACGGCAGCACGGACUUCGGUCUGGUGGCGAGUGGCGAACGGGUGAGUAAUGUAUCGGAACGUGCCUGUGGCGGGGAUAACUACGCGAAAGCGUAGCUAAUACCAUACGCCCUUCGGGGGCAAGCGGGGACCUUCGGGCCUCGCACUAUUAGAGCGGCCGAUAUCGGAUUAGCUAGUUGGUGGGGUAACGGCUCACCAAGGCAGGCGAUCCGUAGCUGGUUUGAGAGGACGACCAGCCACACUGGGACUGAGACACGGCCCAGACUCCUACGAGGGGGGCAGCAGUGGGGAAUUUUGGACAAUGGGGAAACCCUGAUCCAGCCAUCCCGCGUGUGCGAUGAAGGCAACUUCAGGUUGUAAAGCACUUUUGGCAGGAAAAGAAACGGCACGGGAUAAUACCCGAUACGGCAAACAAUUGCUACACCAGAAUAUAAGCACCGGCUAACUACGUGCCAGCAGCCGCGGUAAUACGUAGGGUGCAAGCGUUAAAUCGGAAUUACUGGGCGUAAAGCGUGCGCAGGCGGUUCGGAAAGAAAGAUGUGAAAUCCAGAGCUUAACUUUGGAACUGCAUUUUUAACUACCGAGCUAGAGAGUGUGUCAGAGAGGUGGAAUUCCGCGUGUAGCAGUGAAAUGCGUAGAUAUGCGGAGGAACACCGAGAAGGCGAAAAGAGCUGACCUCCUGGGAUAACACUGACGCUCAUGCACGAAAGCGUGGGGAGCAAACAGGAUUAGAUACCCUGGUAGUCCACGCCUAAACGAUGUCAACUAGCUGUUGGGGCCUUCGGGCCUUGGUAGCGCAGCUAACGCGUGAAGUUGACCGCCUGGGGAGUACGGUCGCAAGAUUAAAACUCAAAGGAAUUGACGGGGACCCGCACAAGCGGUGGAUGAUGUGGAUUAAUUCGAUGCAACGCGAAAAACCUUACCUACCCUUGACAUGUCUGGAAUCCCGAAGAGAUUUGGGAGUGCUCGCAAGAGAACCGGAACACAGGUGCUGCAUGGCUGUCGUCAGCUCGUGUCGUGAGAUGUUAGGUUCAGUCCUGAGCGCAACCCUUGCCAAUGUUAGUUGCUACGAAAGGGCACUCUAAUGAGACUGCCGAUGACAAACCAGAGGAAGAUGAGGAUGACAUCAAAGUCAUGGCCCUUAUGGGUAGGGCUUCACGUCAUACAAUGGUCGGGACAGAGGGUCGCCAACCCGCGAGGAGCCAAUCCCAGAAACCCGAUCGUAGUCCGGAUCGCAGUCUGCAACUCGACUGCGUGAAGUCAGAUAUUAGUAAUCGCGGAUCAGCAUGUCGCGGUGAAUACGUUCCCGGGUCUUGUACACCGCCCGUCACACCAUGGGAGUGGGUUUACCAGAAGUAGUUAGCCUAACCGUAAGGAGGCGAUUACCACGGUAGGAUUCAUGACUGGGGUGAAGUCGUAACAAGGUAG